RNAcentral lists this non-coding RNA (31 nucleotides) under Homo sapiens (human). The record is from RNAcentral. Lineage: Eukaryota; Metazoa; Chordata; Mammalia; Primates; Hominidae.
CAAGUGGACAAGUGCCAACCCGAUGAGGCCA